UCCGAUUUGUCACCGGCAGUCUCCCAUGAGUCCCCGACAUUACUCGCUGGCAACAUGGGACAGGGGUUGCGCUCGUUGCGGGACUUAACCCAACAUCUCACGGCACGAGCUGACGACAGCCAUGCACCACCUGUGCACAGGCCCCGAAGGGCUGCCGUAUUUCUACGACAUUCCUGUGCAUGUCAAGCCCAGGUAAGGUUCUUCGCGUUGCGUCGAAUUAAGCAACAUGCUCCGCCGCUUGUGCGGGCCCCCGUCAAUUCCUUUGAGUUUCAGCCUUGCGGCCGUACUCCCCAGGCGGGAUGCUUAUCGCGUUAGCUGCGACACUGACCGGGUCGAUCCGCCCAGCGUCUAGCAUCCAUCGUUUACGGCGUGGACUAC
RNAcentral lists this unclassified non-coding RNA (378 nucleotides) under uncultured bacterium. RNAcentral's name for it is "contains 16S-23S intergenic spacer region". The record is from RNAcentral.